Molecule: ribosomal RNA, 253 nt
Filed under: uncultured bacterium
Lineage: Bacteria
Description: partial 16S ribosomal RNA
Rfam family: Bacterial small subunit ribosomal RNA
Source: RNAcentral
UACGUAGGGGGCAAGCGUUAUCCGGAUUUACUGGGUGUAAAGGGAGCGUAGACGGCGAUGCAAGUCUGAAGUGAAAGGCGGGGGCCCAACCCCCGGACUGCUUUGGAAACUGUAUAGCUGGAGUGCAGGAGAGGUAAGUGGAAUUCCUAGUGUAGCGGUGAAAUGCGUAGAUAUUAGGAGGAACACCAGUGGCGAAGGCGGCUUACUGGACUGUAACUGUCGUUGAGGCUCGAAAGCGUGGGGAGCAAACAGG